GUUUUGGAAAUGGUUUCAUAAGAGACAGAGGAGCAUGCAAGUACAGAUCUCCCCAGAGGAACUUUCUCAUCAAUCCCCUUGGACAGUGAGAGAUCAGCAGUGUGCUAUAUUUCUCCCUGUUGCAAUGAAAGGAAAAAGGUUCUGCAUCCAGUGUCCCAAAGUUUAGAUGUUAUGGGUGCAGAUGUCUGUCUUGCCUGGUCAUCCGUGCUCUGGUGGUCUCACAGAAUCCUGAGCCCCACCCAGCGGGGUCUCAUCAUGGACGCACAGACUUUCCACUGAUUUCUGAUACCAAACCCUCUUACAGAAAAGCUUGAGGGAAGAACAAUACUUCUAUAACCUCUAUAAAAAAUAAGUGCUUUUAAAAUACAGAUGACUAUUCCAAAGGACUAAACAACUCCUACUAGGAAGAAGAAACAGAUCGAUUAGAUUUGGGACUGUGAAAAUGUAGAACACUUUGCCUCACGAAGCUCCUCUGAAUGAGUGGACACAAGCUUCUAUUGUUGUUCAUUUUUAAAUUUUUUUUUUAUUUUAACAUAUCUUUUUUUUCUUCAUAUCUAAAUAGUUGUUUCCAACU
Long non-coding RNA from Sciurus carolinensis (gray squirrel), 574 nucleotides. RefSeq lists it as uncharacterized. Lineage: Eukaryota; Metazoa; Chordata; Mammalia; Rodentia; Sciuridae. The record is from RefSeq and is a predicted model, not a curated record. The transcript is spliced from 4 exons.